GCAUCAAGAAGAGAAGAAGCAAAAUGGGCUCUCAAGCGCUAUCAUCCUCAUGUUUCUUUCGCUCAAACUGGGUGGCUUUAAAUUCUUCUCAACCAUCAUCUUCGUCAUCAAGCCUCAAGCCUUCUAUACUUCUUCCUCUCAAAGCCAAAAAUCCUCCAUACCCUCUUCAUGCCAAUGCCAUUACUGUUACCUUCUCUUUCCCCAGAUUCCACAGGUUGAAAACCAGAGCUGCCCUUGAUGAAAAAGACCAAAGCCCUCCUACCCCACUUCUUGUUCAACAGCAAGAAGAAAAAGAGGAGGAAGAAGUGCGGACUCAAAGCAACCCAGAGGUGGAGGAGAGUGUGAAAAUGCUCAAGAAUGCUGCAAAGACAAGAAAGGUUGCGGCAAAGGAGGUUUUAUCAGCUCUAGCUGUGAUUGAGAAGGCUAAAAUGGAUCCCUCAGGGUUUCUUGAAACACUUGGUGGGUCAAAAUCCCCAGGCAGAACUUGGAUGCUUAUUUUCACUGCUGAGGUUGGUAUAAUUCUUGUUCCCUGGUGUUUACUAGUUAUUUUUAUCUAUAUGGUUUAUUAUGCUAUUGAUUUUUGUGUUAUUUUGUAGAAGCAAUUGAAGGGUGGAAGAUACUUCCCUCUUACUGCUGUUCAGAGGUUUGAUGCUGCUGUAAGUUCAGUGUAGCCUUCAAUUAUACAUUUAUGAAUGUUUUUGUGAUAUAAGUUUCUGGUGUAAAGAAAAAAAACAAAAAUUGGAAUUGUUCAGGGUAUUGGUAUUUCAAUUUAGAAAUGCUUUUUCAGCAAAUGGAUAAUUUAUGUGGAUUUUCUUUGAUAAAUUAACAAAAAAAAUGGUACUCUUUUCAAGCUUCUAAUAGCCCCUUGUAACUUUAACUAAAUGCAGAAGCUUAGGGCAUUGUCUUGGGAUUUGUCUUGUGACACUAGUGAAGUUUUUGUGGGACACAAUUUCUUGUUUUUAGAAUUAGCUUUCUAAUUUCCUUUUUGUUGGUGAUCAUUUAGAAUCCACUGCAUUAAUCUUCCUACACUGGUUCUGAAAACUGAAAAUGAAUUAGGUUGUACUUGUGAAGAAGUUCUUAUCCCUUGCUUGUGGGUAAGGACAAUUGUUAACAUUUUCAAAAUUUCCUCUAGUUCCCCACUUCUUAGAUGCUCAUGUAGACGCAUAAUCCAAAUAUAUUCUAUUUUGUUUCAUUUUUCAUGUUCUUAUAUGUUAAUGCCUUCUUUAAGCAUGAACUUUCCUGCAUUUUCAUCUUUUCUCUUGUUGCAAAGACUAGUAAAUUCGUUGGAUUGCUUAUGUCAGCCGGUUGAAGAUAGACACGUGUAUUAUGUUCCUUAUGUUCAACCUUAGAUAGUUAUUGAUUUGUACUUGGAUUAUCAGGAAAAGAGGAUUGAAAAUGGAGUAUAUCUUGGGCCAAUUGGAUGCUUAACAUUUGAAGGCAGAUUUACAUGGAAAAACAGGAUAUUGGCCUUCAUUUUUGAGCUUGUUCGUGUGAAAAUUGGACCUCUAAAUCCUUUGGAGAUCAGUCUUGGCCAAAUCGACGAUAGAGAACCAAGCACCAAAGAUCCAUUCUUUAUAUGGUUUUACAUUGACGAAGAAAUAGCAGUUGCUCGAGGCAGGAGCGGGGGAACUGCAUUUUGGUGUCGAUG
Molecule: unclassified non-coding RNA, 1648 nt
Filed under: Hevea brasiliensis (rubber tree)
Lineage: Eukaryota; Viridiplantae; Streptophyta; Magnoliopsida; Malpighiales; Euphorbiaceae
Source: RNAcentral